Molecule: ribosomal RNA, 442 nt
Filed under: uncultured bacterium
Lineage: Bacteria
Description: partial 16S ribosomal RNA
Rfam family: Bacterial small subunit ribosomal RNA
Source: RNAcentral
CCUACGGGAGUCACAAGUGGGGAAUAUUGGGCAAUGGACGCAAGUCUGACCCAGCAACGCCGCGUGAAGGAAGAAGGCUUUCGGGUUGUAAACUUCUUUUAAGGGGGAAGAACAGACGACGGUACCCCUUGAAUAAGCCACGGCUAACUACGUGCCAGCAGCCGCCGUAAUACGUAGGUGGCAAUCGUUGUCCGGAUUUACUGGGUGUAAAGGCCGUGCAGCCGGGAAGACAAGUCUGAUGUGACAUCCCGCGGCUCAACCGCGGAACUGCAUUGGAAACUGUUGUUAUUGAGUAUCGGAGAGGUAAUCGGAAUUCCUAGUGUAGCGGUGAAAUGCGUAGAUAGUAGGAAGAACACCAGUGGCGAAGGCGGAUUACUGGACGACAACUGAUGGUGAGGCGCGAAAGCGUGGGGAGCAAACAGGAUUAGAUACCCUUGUAGUC